This 501-nucleotide ribosomal RNA is filed under the name uncultured bacterium. Its description in RNAcentral is "partial 16S ribosomal RNA". It matches the Rfam family "Bacterial small subunit ribosomal RNA", at positions 30 to 523 of the family's 1533-position model. The record is from RNAcentral.
AUUGAACGCUGGCGGCAGGCUUAACACAUGCAAGUCGAGCGGAGCGAGGGUGCUUGCACCUUAGCUUAGCGGCGGACGGGUGAGUAAUGCUUAGGAAUCUGCCUAUUAGUGGGGGACAACAUUCCGAAAGGAAUGCUAAUACCGCAUACGCCCUACGGGGGAAAGCAGGGGAUCUUCGGACCUUGCGCUAAUAGAUGAGCCUAAGUCGGAUUAGCUAGUUGGUGGGGUAAAGGCCUACCAAGGCGACGAUCUGUAGCGGGUCUGAGAGGAUGAACCGCCACACUGGGACUGGAACACGGCCCAGACUCCUACGGGAGGCAGCAGUGGGGAAUAUUGGACAAUGGGCGGAAGCCUUAUCCAGCCAUGCCGCGUGUGUGAAGAAGGCCUUUUGGUUGUAAAGCACUUUAAGUGAGGAGGAGGCUACUUAGAUUAAUACUCUGGGAUAGUGGACGUUACUCGCAGAAUAAGCACCGGCUAACUCUGUGCCAGCCGCCGCCGUAA